GAUGAACGCUGGCGGCGUGCCUAAUACAUGCAAGUCGAGCGAACGGACGAGAAGCUUGCUUCUCUGAUGUUAGCGGCGGACGGGUGAGUAACACGUGGAUAACCUACCUAUAAGACUGGGAUAACUUCGGGAAACCGUAGAUAAUACCGGAUAAUAUUUUGAACCGCAUGGUUCAAAAGUGAAAGACGGUCUUGCUGUCACUUAUAGAUGGAUCCGCGCUGCAUUAGCUAGUUGGUAAGGUAACGGCUUACCAAGGCAACGAUGCAUAGCCGACCUGAGAGGGUGAUCGGCCACACUGGAACUGAGACACGGUCCAGACUCCUACGGGAGGCAGCAGUAGGGAAUCUUCCGCAAUGGGCGAAAGCCUGACGGAGCAACGCCGCGUGAGUGAUGAAGGUCUUCGGAUCGUAAAACUCUGUUAUUAGGGAAGAACAUAUGUGUAAGUAACUGUGCACAUCUUGACGGUACCUAAUCAGAAAGCCACGGCUAACUACGUG
Molecule: ribosomal RNA, 497 nt
Filed under: uncultured bacterium
Lineage: Bacteria
Description: partial 16S ribosomal RNA
Rfam family: Bacterial small subunit ribosomal RNA
Source: RNAcentral